GACGAACGCUGGCGGCGUGCCUAACACAUGCAAGUCGAACGGAAAGGCGCUGCUUUUGUGCGGUUCUCGAGUGGCGAACGGGUGAGUAACACGUGAGUAUCCUGCACUUGACUUUGGGAGAACUUCAGGAAACUGCGGCUAAUACCGGAGAGGAGCUCCUGCUGCAUGGGGGUCGUUGGAAAGUUUCGGCGGUUGGGGAUGGACUGGCGGCUUAUCAGCUUGUUGGUGGGGUAGUGGCUUACCAAGGCUGUGACGGGUAGCCGGCCUGAGAGGGUGACCGGCGACAUGGGGCCUGAGGGAGGGAGCAGAAGGGAAUGGGAGGCAGCAGGGGGAAGUAUGACAGAAUGGGCCGAAGUGUGAGAUGACGGCGUCGGGAGCGUGAAACCGGCCUUCUGGGUGUAAACAGCUUUGGACUUUGACGAGGCGGGAGUGACGGUACUGAGUAAAGAAGCACCGGCUAACUACGUG
Molecule: ribosomal RNA, 468 nt
Filed under: uncultured bacterium
Lineage: Bacteria
Description: partial 16S ribosomal RNA
Rfam family: Bacterial small subunit ribosomal RNA
Source: RNAcentral